RNAcentral lists this ribosomal RNA (442 nucleotides) under uncultured bacterium. RNAcentral's name for it is "bacterial SSU rRNA". It matches the Rfam family "Bacterial small subunit ribosomal RNA", at positions 28 to 507 of the family's 1533-position model. The record is from RNAcentral.
GAUGAACGCUGGCGGUAUGCCUAACACAUGCAAGUCGUACGAGGGUUUUUAACUCUAGUGGCGGACGGGUGAGUAACACGUGAGAAUUUGCCUUUAGGAGGGGGACAACAAUUGGAAACGAAUGCUAAUACCCCAUAUGCUUUCGAGUGAAAUGGAUUUUAUCCGCCUAGAGAGAAGCUCGCGGCUGAUUAGCUUGUUGGUAAGGUAAGAGCUUACCAAGGCGACGAUCAGUAUCUGGUUUGAGAGGACGAUCAGACACACUGGAACUGAGACACGGUCCAGACUCCUACGGGAGGCAGCAGUGGGGAAUUUUCCGCAAUGGGCGAAAGCCUGACGGAGCAAUACCGCGUGAGGGAAGAAUGCCUAUGGGUUGUAAACCUCUUUUUUCAGGGUAGGAAUAAAAUGACGUGUACCUGAAGAAUAAGCAUCGGCUAACUCCGUG